AUAUAUAUAUAUAUAUAUAUAUAUUGGUGACUUGAUGUUCACAACUGGUGUUUUUGUCAGCUUUCUUUCCAGUUUUUACUCCUUCACUUCUUUCUAAAAGAAUCCCCACUGUGGAUCACACUCUUACCUCCAGUCCUGUUUCACCUCACAAGCACACUUCCCAAUGGCUUGCCAUCAAUUGGUUUUGAGUGGGUAUGUGCCCUUAUUUUUGGCAAGACACUAACUAUGGAGAGAAGUCUUCUGGGAGGUUCAUAUGAAAAAGUUCAUUUCUUUCAUGACACAGACUAUUGUUCUGCUGGAAGUUGUGGCUUGAACAAAGGCAGUUUUCUUGUGACCUUGAGAGGAGCAAGACUGAGGCAGCAGUUAGGAUCAGUGGAAAGCUUGUAUGUAUGUAUGUAUGUAUGUAUGUAUGUAUGUAUGUAUGUAUGUAUAUGUUCGUGUAUAUAUGCAUAUGUGUGUAUGUGUGUUUCUGUAUCUACAACACAUGCAUAUAAGCCUCAUGAUGGUGCUGGGUGGCUGAAGAGUCCAGCUUCUAAAUACCCUCCCUCUGAAUUUCUCUUCCUUUGCUCUAUAAACAGCUCUAUUGAUGACUUCGUUUGAGUUGGGGUCUUUUAUAGUUGACAGUCAGCAUUGUCCUAGCUGAUUGGUUGCCCAUUCACACUAACACUUAAUGCUGACAUUGCUGUGGCACUGAACGAAUGUGACAAUGCGGUACUGAGAUGGUGCUGGUGUCAUGUGUGCAGAAACCGUCACAAAGAGCUGAACAGAUUGUCAAAAGGGAUUAAACACAUCCUAGUCUUAGGCACCAUGCUAGGUUCUUUGAGUUGAAAACCCAACUGCUGUUCUCGGGGAGUCUGAGAUGGAAUGUGUUCAUGAAUCCAAGCAUAUGGCACAGCAAUGAAGUAUACAAACAUUGCUCCAAGUCAUCAUUUUCCCCUCAGAAGAACCUCUUGAUGCUUUGGGUAACAAGUUAUUUAUUUGUGUACUUGAGUAUUGAGUACUUGUUUGCAUAUAUAUAUAUAUAUGUAUAUAUAUAUAUACAUAUAUAUAUAUAUAUCCACUUAAAAUAAUAAUGACUGUUUUAGAUUACUAUACCUUGGCUCGAUCAGGACCUGCCAAAUGGAUUAUUAUUUUGCAUAAAGCAACUAUUAUGUUAAGCAGCAUGGUAGUGGCUUUGGGGAAUAUGAAAUUUUAAAAGUCAAACCUUGUUUUCAAAAGGACUAUGGCUUAAGAGGAAGGAUGAGUAGUUAUCAUCUAAAUGCAUGUAUGCUACAUCAGUAACACAGAUGCUAAACUUGCGUGCAGUUGACCAAGGGGCAGAUCACUUCUGCUCAGGGUUAUGAGACACGGUCCCAUAAGAGACAUGGGAAUAAAGCUGCACUUUUUGUAAACAGGGGUCAGAGCAGGGUGUGAAUCCCAUAGGGUGGUAGAAGUUCCCUUUAGGAUCUGUUGACUGAUGGGCUAGACCAGUUGAUGACAGAAAUGAGACUCCAGAAUGUCUUGACAUGAUGCAAGGAUAAAUUGUAGGUAAGGAUGAAAAUGAAUCAGCCUCAAUGUACCAUUUUGUAUUUGCUUAGUAAAGGGGAAAUGCAUACAAUCACAGUUAUUGGUGUGGAAAAGACAUUGUGUUUUGGUGAGUGUAGCCUGAAUCGAUCUGCAAUCCAGAUGCCCAGUAAGCCAAGGCAAACCCAUUCUGCCCAAAAAAACCAAAAAACCAAAAGCAAAACAAAACAAAACAAAAAACCAUGGUGCCUUGUAUUUCUGUUCAUCAGCAAUCAAAUAGAUUGCAUUAGUUUUAUUUCUGCCAUGUGAAAUUACCAUAAACACAUAAAGUUUAAGACAAUGCAAAGAGAUUUCCUUAAAAUUCCUGUGGUCGGAAAUGCAGCCCAGGUCCCACUGAACUGAAAUUCAGCUGCUCAGUCACUGAUGUUUCCUGGGAACUUCUUGGGAGAAUCCAUUUCCUGACCUUUCUGGUUGCUGUUGGUAUUUUGUUCUUUGACUUUAAGGUCCCUGUUUUCUUGCAGGCUAUAAGCUUAGGAACAUUCUAAACUCCUAGAGGCCACCCCAGAGCUCAGUUGCAUGGUGCCUUUCCUCCACCUUUUAAGAUGGCUGUGAUGUGGCAGGUCUGGUCCUUUUCACAGCACUUCUCUCUGCUGGAGGAGCCAUUGGAAACUCUUCAAGACUUGGCGACUGCCUGGACAUCUCUCAACUUAAACCUAUCUGCAAAAGCCCUUUGCCACCUAAUAUUAUAAUACUUAUGUAUGUAUAUGUGACACACACACACACACACACACACACACACACACACACACACACACACACACACACACACACCAUGUGUUUACACACAAUCAUUGGGGGAUUUACAGGAAUUAAGGUAUGAACAUCUUAUGGGCAUUUUUCUGCCUAUCAACAAUCCUCUUAUUCAGGGUUGGGUCUCAGUUGACCAUUGACCCAAAAGAGUAAAUCUUUGUAAGAAUCACCAUAAUAGUUAUAAAACUCAAAACUGUAUUCUUCCUCAAGUGAGAAUUGAGUGAAGCAUUUACACUGGAUCUUUAUGGGGAUGUCCUUCUGUAUGCUGUGAAUAUAUGUUGCUCGUAUUGGUUGAUGAAUAAAGCUGUUUCAGCCAAUGGACAGGCAGGAUGUAGCAAGGCAGGAAGUAUAAAAGAGGCCUCCAGACUAGGAGAAUUCUAGGAAAAGAAAUUGGGAGAAUGAGUUGAGAGAGAGACGCCAUGUAGCUGCCAAGGAAGCAAGAGAUCCAGGCAUCACUGGUAAGUCAAGACCAUUUGGAGAUACACAGAUUAAUAGAAAUUGGUUAAUAAUUAAGAGAGAACUAGCCAAUAAGAAGCCUAAGCUAUUGGUCAAACAGUUUAUGAUUAAUAUAAGCCUCUGUGUGUUUAUUUGGGACUGAAUGGCUUCAGGACCAGGCGAGACAGAACUUCCAUCUACAGGGUCUUUAGGAUUAAGGCCUUCCAUAGAAAACAGGCUUACUUUGUACUGCAUAGAAUAUGCAGGGUCAACUUAAGAAAAAGAGGACAAAUUUUGUUUCAACAUAGGGAAUAUAAUCUUUGGUUUCCAAAAAACAGCUCCAAUAGAUCUUGGUAUGCAUACCCUUCCCUAUGCUCACCUCCACAGCCCAAACGUAGACUCACCAAGAUUUGCCUCCAGCCAGUGAAAUUGCCAAUGAUUCAGUACAAGACUUUAGAGUCCAGUCACUAAGAAGUCUCACCACUUCCAUUUUGUAAACCCUGAGCUAUUGUGUUGGAAGUACAGCCAUGCUUCUAUCAAAGAUCCCAACAAUGCCAGCAUUACCAUCCGGCUUUCUACAAUUCAGAUUUUUAUUCAGAAUCAAAAUCUGGAUAAAUGAUUGUUUUAGAUACCUCAGCAUUGGAAUGAUGUGUGAUGAGACAAAAGUAAUUGAUAUUCCUGCCUCACUGGUGUGCUAAGUGUGUGUGUGUGUGUGUGUGUGUGUGUGUGUGUGUGUGUGUGUGUGUGUGUACGUGCACACACAGGUCCAAGUUAACUGUUACACCUACCUCACCGAUUACAUGUGCUUGUAUCAUAUCCAAGAUAAAUGCUACAUCUACCCUGCUGAUUGUGUAUGUGUGUGUUUGUACAUGUUUCCAACUACAUUUUGAGUUACUUGUUAUACGAACCAUAUUUUUGUAUAAGAGAUUUUCUUUUUCUUCCCCUUUGAAUAGGAAAAAAAGGGCAUUGACUUCCACAAUUCUUUCUUUUCAGCCUUAUGCUUGAUUUAAUGUGCUGUUUCAGAGGCAAGCCAUGUGCACUUUCUUUCCUUGAUUUCAUUAUUUCCCUGAUAACUCAAAUGUGUAGAGCAGCCUUAGUCAUUUUGCUGUCAUAAUUCAACUACCUUUAAAAAUGUAAAGCAAAAUUAAACUGAUAAGUAAUUAAAAACAGAUGAUGUAAACUAAGAGUAUGCUUGGAACAAGUGAAAAUAUACAAGACAGUGAAAGAGAAGGUGGAAAUCCCCCAAACACCCCAGGGCUUUGAUACGUACAGCAGAACUUCAGCUCACAGUGUGAAAGUUAACAUAGACAAUGAAGUAGAUUUUUGUGAUGGGAAACCUUGAGUGUCACCUUGGUAGAAUUUAGACUCACCAUGGAAACAAACAAAAUUUUAUUGGAAACAUGUUUAUUGAAAAACUUUUUUCACAUUAAAAAUAGAAAAUUAAAGAUAAGCAUUGAGCAUCAGACUAAGCACAUACAGAUAGAUUUAGAUUUGCUUUUGAGGUUUAUUUUAUGACAAGUCAAAUAAGCCAAAUAUGGAUCUUUAUAAAGAGUAUUUUAUAUAUACCAUAUCUUUUAAAACUGAUAAUCCUAUGAGGUACGUACUAUCAUUUCCCUAAGUUUUAGAUGAGAAAAUGAACGAAGAAAUUAUUAUUAAUUGACAAAUAAAAUUAUACAACUAUUUAUAAUGUAUGAUAAUAUUCAGCUACAUGUAUAAAUCAUAGAGUAGUAAAUAAACUAAGUCUAUUUAUUACCUCACAUAGUUAGCAAUUCUGUUGUUAAGAUUACUUGUUUAAUUAAACCAAGCACCUGCUUCAGAGUCCUUCUGGCUAGAAAAGCUAAAAUACUGAGAAAGACAUAAUGCCAUUCUGCACUGUGGAAGCUAUUUCCAAUGAGAGAUGUCUAUGAUGGAAAGAGUAUAGUUAUCAAAUAAGAACCUUCAAUAUUCCCCAAAAGAACACAUUGAAGGACUGGGAGGGGGAGCAAAUUGUAUCCUGUAGUGUCUGGUAAGUGUAUGCUUUAAUUUCCAAGUAUUCCAUUCAGGGUUUUUCUUUCCAAUGUGAGUUCACUUACAGUGAACAAGUACAUGAACAAAUCUGAGGUGUGGAAAGUGGAGGGAAACUACCCACACUGCCAUCUAAUCUUUGGCAAUGUCCUGGGAGACCUCAGAUGGGUGCUCUGUCACCAAGUCUCUGAAAUUGUUCCAGGUGCUGUCAAACCCUCCAUUUGGUUUACUCCUCACAAACAUCCUGCAAGAUGGGUGGCGAUGUUUUCAUAAAUAAAUGAAAUGAGCUCUGAGAGGUGGGUCCUUCUGCUUGAAAGCCACUCGGAGGCACAAACAGUCAUGGAAAAAAAGAAAAAGAAAAAGAAAAAGAAAAAGAAAAAGAAAAAGAAAAAGAAAAAGAAAAAGAAAAAGAAGGCAUCGUGUAACCCUCUGGACUUGAGAAUAUAAGGACCCUCAACCAUAGACAGUUGACUUUGUGAGCCUUCAGUCGAUGUUUGAUCUCUAUGCAAUUAGACAUUUGAGAAAUACUAUUUUGGACCAUGCUUCUCCAUGCUUCCCUGUAUUUUUUGGAGGGGACAGGAUAUGUUUAAGAGCUGGAUUCCAGACAAGCUGUCUUUCCAUUCCUCCCCUGCUAUUAGCUUUCUAUUCAUCCUGACUCAGUUCAUGGAUCUUUUUGGCCACUGAUUAUCAUACUGUUUUCUUUGUGGACAGCCCCAGAUACACGCUACAGUGUGGAAUGAGGUGUGUGGCCUGACACGGAGUCUCUCUCUUAUCCUUUCUAAGCCUUCGUGUCAGAAGUGAGAGAGGCAGACAUAACCUGGAAAGUUGGGUACUGGAAUUUUAUCAUUCUUUGCUUCCCAGACAGAAUUCCAAUGAGGGACUGUUUUGACUUUCUAAACCAAAGUGGUGCUUGAGUGAGGGCUCUGUUUCCAUUGCCGCCAUUUCCUGCUAAUGAGAGUAUCACGAUGAUACCAAACCCUUUGUUCACUUCAGUCAUUGAGAUUCCUCUGCCAAGUGCAACACAGGUGAGUGCACACAGUGCCAAUAAUGUGAUGGGCAGUAAGAUGGCUCAUCAGGUUAAAGCAAUUGCCUGACAAUGGAUUUGAUCCCUGGAGCCCAGAGUAGAUGAGAACCAACUCCCCAAAUUCACUCUCUGACUUUCACACUCUUGAUGGAGUUUGUGGGUACGUACCUUCAUGUGUGUAUGUGUGCACGCGCGCGCGCGCGCGCGCACACACACACACACACACACACACACACACACACA
Molecule: non-coding RNA, 6019 nt
Organism: Cricetulus griseus (Chinese hamster)
Lineage: Eukaryota; Metazoa; Chordata; Mammalia; Rodentia; Cricetidae
Source: RefSeq, a predicted model, not a curated record